UGUCGUUUUCGGUUCAGCGUUAUUCUUUCGUGUGCAGUGUAUUAACGGGUGUUUUGUUCGCCGUGCAAAGAAGCAAGAAAGAACGAAAGGAAGAAAAAGUGAGGAGAAAGGCAAAGGAAUUACGAGAACCAUGUGCACCAGUGAUGUACUUUAGCGAUCGUGAAGAGUUGGAACGAUCGGUACGAAGAAAGGAAUUGGGAUCGGAGUGAACGCGCGAAAGAAUAGAACGGGAAAGGAAGGCGAGCGUGGUCGGUUUUGGCCGGAGAAUAUCCAGCCGGGGGGAAGCCAAAGAAAAGAGCGACAAGGGAAAGAAAGGAAACAUGUCGCGACGGUACACCAGGAUCCACAUUGUACGGGCCUGGGCGAGGCCUCGACAUCUUUUGCUGUCGUUUCUGCUUCUUUGUGGAACUCUCGCCGAUGCAACGAGAUUGAGGCAUUCCAGGCACUUGGACGCAAGAUCGCAGCUCUCGAUCGAGGAGGAAUUGGCGAUGGAUCAGGACGAAAAUCACAAUCACAAACCGGUUUUUUCGAAUUGUUCGAAUUACGCACCGAUAGUGAAGGAGGAGGAACCGGUAGGCACGAUCGUGAUUAAAGUACACGCGGAGGACAGGGAUCAACCGAGCGACGGAGGCACCAUUGCUUACAGUUUCGUCACCGCACCGGGUGAAAAGCUAAAGUUCGAGAUCAACAACAGGACCGGCCUGAUCAGGACGACGCAGGUGUUGGACAGGGACGAGCCAGCUCGAGAGAAGGAAGCCUACCUGACCGUCCUCGCGACCGACAACGGAAGGCCGCAACUCGACGACGUGUGCACCUUCAAAGUCACCAUCGAGGACGUGAACGAUAACUCGCCGGUUUUCGACAAAGUGGCGUAUACCGAAUCGGUGCCGCAAGAUUUACCCCUCGGACGAGAAGUGAUGAGGGUAUCCGCCACGGAUAUCGACGAUGGCAACAACUCCGUCGUCUACUACAGCCUCUCGCCGAAAAGGCCCGAGGACGGUGUAUACUUUCGUAUAGAUCGCAACACCGGUGUCAUAUUCCUCAACAAGACCAUCGACAGAAAUCCGGAUUACAAGUUCAGCAUGACGGCAACCGCCGAGGAUCAGGGCGAGAAUCCAAAGUCGAACGUGAUCGAUCUGGAUAUUCGAGUCGUAGAGUCGCACAAAAAGGCUCCAGCCUUUUUGCCAAGGUCUUCCGAACCGAUUCGAUUGCAAGAGAACUUUAGCGAUUUCGACGUGAGUAUCAUACGAUUACAGGCUGUCUCGAAUAGCGGUGAUAACACCGGUCUCCUCUUCGAACUGGUACCCGGUAGGACGGAACAAACCAACAAGGGAAACACGUUCAGAUUGGAAUCGAACAAGGACGUUGCAGAUAUCAAGCUUUCUCAGCACCUCGACUACGAGAGUAACACUUUGUACACCUUGAUCGUACGCGUGCAGAACAAGUAUCAGCUGGCUGCCGAGACCGUGAUCGACAUCGAGGUAUUGGACGUAAACGACAAUAUUCCGGUGUUUCGCGAGAUGAAGAAGGGUAGCGUAUUGGAGAACGAACCACCGGGUGUCCCCGUGAUGCAAGUGCGCGCCAUCGACGCCGACGGGACGUCCGCUCACAAUCAGGUCACGUACGAACUGGACAACUUUCGGGACCUAUUCGCCAUUGAUAAGUACACCGGUAACAUCACCACUCUGACCACGUUCGACAGAGAGCUCGAGGACACGUACAACGUGAAGGUGAUCGCCGUGGAUAACUCGCCGAGCGCUCUCUUCCAAACGGGCAACCACAAUAAAGGGCAGCAAGUAUUUCGCAUCGAGAUCGCUGAUAAAAACGACAACGCCCCCCAUUUCACGCAAGCCGUCUAUACCGCCAACUCGAUCCUCGAGAAUGCCAAUAUCAACGCCCCGGUCACCGAAGUGAAGGCACUCGAUUCCGAUACCGCUAGCCCCGUCACGUAUAGCAUCAUAUACGGUAAUACUGACGACAGCUUUUACAUCGAAGAUACCACGGGAAAGAUUCGCGUGAAAAAACCUCUGGAUUACGAGAAGAUCACCGAAUAUAACCUAACCGUUAGAGCGUUGGACGGUGUGUACAACGACACUGCCCAAGUGAAAAUUUUCAUCGAGAACGUGAACGAUAAUCCGCCGGUCUUCGAGGACUUCAACAAAAAUCCUACCAUCGAGGAGGAGAAGCUGGUCGAAGGUUGCAUCACUACCGUGGUCGCUUACGAUCCAGAUAUCAAGGACAGGAAUGCCGAUCAACAUAUCGCCUACUUUAUCGUGAAAGAGGAUCAGCAACCUUUGAUCGGAAUUGACAAGACUGGUUGCAUGACCCUGAAAAAACCGCUUGAUCGAGAUUCACCCUUAGGAUACUCCAUGUGGACGGUGAUCGUAAUGGCCCGAGACGAAGACGGGUCUCCGACCGCAUUGCGAGAACUGGUAAUGGUCAACAUCACGCUGAUAGAUAUAAACGACAACGCACCUUUCCUCGAUAUGCCGUAUCCGGUGGUCUGGGGCGAGAACAAGCCACCCGGUAAAAUUACCGAACUGAAGGCUCGAGAUUGGGACUCGGAGGAAAACGGACCACCUUUUAAAUUUCAAAUCGACGAGAAUACCGCGGACCAAGAGAUUUUGGACAAGUUUGCUAUUCGAGACGCCGAUUUGUUCGCUCGUGUCAAGUUUGAUCGAGAGGAACGAAAGAGUUACGAUAUCCCGAUCGCGAUCACGGAUAGCGGCAAGCCGCCGAUGACGGGGACGUCCACGUUGACCGUAAUCAUCGGCGACGAAAAUGACAAUCCAAUGUCCGAAGGGUCGAGCUCGAUAUUCGUGUAUAAUUACAAGGGCGAAGCCCCGAAAACCGACAUCGGCCGAGUGUACGUCAACGAUCCGGACGAUUGGGACUUGCCGGACAAACAUUUCGCCUGGGCCUCCACGCACGAAGGGUUUCAGCUGAAUCAAGAGAACGGUAUGAUCACGCUGCUUCCCGGUAUCUCCAACGACACGUUUGUCCUCAAGUUUAUAGUCAGCGAAAACAGUACGCUUAUCCAACGGCAUCAUGUGAACGCGUACGUGAAUGUUACCGUGAAGGAACUGCCCGAGGAAGCAGUGGCUAGAUCGGGUUCCGUGCGCUUUUACGGAAUGACAGCCAAAGACUUUGUAGCUCCCGACGAAACCGGUGUCAGCAAGAAGGAAAUAUUUCAGGAAAGAAUCGCCAACAUGUUGAAUACCUCGGUGGAAAACGUGGACGUAUUUACGGUGCUUCACUCGCCGCACCAUAAUAACAUGAGUCUGCUAGACGUACGAUUUUCGGCGCACGGUAGUCCUUAUUAUGCUCCCGAGAAAUUGAACACGAUAUUGGCGCAACAUUCCAAAGAGAUGGAACGAGAGCUAAAGACUGACAUUCUGCUGGUAAACAUCGACGAGUGUCUAUUCGAGAAACAGCACUGUAAUAAUACCUGCCGCAGUUAUCUAAAUGUUAGCACGGUUCCGUAUCCGGUCUACACGAACGCGAGCUCUUUCGUCGGGGUGCGAGCGGUCGUAGAUCCACAGUGUACCUGCCACGUGGCUGAACCGAUAGAAUGCCUCAACGGCGGUACACCGUUAGCCGAGCGAUGCGAGUGUCCUCCCGGUCUCGAGGGACCAAGGUGCGAGCUUCUCGGUAUCGGUUUUCACGGCGAUGGUUGGGCGGUGAUGCCACCACCCGGACAAGCUUGCGACGAUUCACAUUUAGGUUUAGAGAUAACUCCUCACGUAGACAACGGUUUGGUGUUCUAUUUUGGUCCAAUGACUUAUAGUUCGAAGAUCAGAAUUCAAGAUUUUAUGGCUUUGGAGCUUCAACAAGGAUACGCUGUCCUCUAUAUGGAUUACGGAACUGGUACCGUGCGACUCGAUCAACGACGGAUCAAACUUACAGAUGGCAAAAGCCACAGGAUAGACGUGUUCUUUACGAAAAACGCGAUCGAGAUGCAAGUGGACAAUUGUGGAAUAUCGGCCUGCAUGAGUCUUACCGCGCCGCAAGGAUCAAACGAAUUCCUAAACGUAAACAGCCCGAUGCAAAUCGGUGGAACUUUGACUAAUCUCGCACAAUUAGCCUCGCAGUUGAAAUGGGAUCACAAACCUACCAGCAAAGGAUUCGUCGGAUGCAUACGCAACAUGACGUUCAAUGGAAAUACGUACAACUUGGGAAUGCCCUCGUUAUCCAGAAACGCCGAUCCUGGCUGUGAUCACGGAAUGGCCAAGGCCGUAUCAUUCGGGAUCGAUACCAACUUCCUUGUUGCGAUCUUGGUUUGUAUCGCCAUCUUAUUGAUACUGUUGCUAGCAGUUGUGGUGCACAGGCGAAAAACGGAUGAUCUCUACAAGGACAUGGACGACAUAAGAGAAAAUAUUAUCAAUUACGAAGACGAAGGAGGUGGCGAAGUAGACACGGGCUACGACCUCAAUGUUCUUCGAACGAUUUACGACGCUCCGCCCAUCGAUUCUAAAAUAGCUCCGAUUGGCUUGCAAACUAGAGGUCCAGACGAAGUACCCGAUAUUUGCGGCUUCUUAGACGGCAAGAAGGAGAGCUGCGAUAAGGAUCCAGACACGAAUCCAUUCGACGAUGUUAGGCACUAUGCGUACGAGGGUGAAGGCAACUCCGAAGGUUCCUUGUCAUCCUUGGCUUCGUGUACCGACGAUGGAGAUCUCAAAUUCAAUUACUUGUCCAACUUUGGACCAAGGUUCCGAAAGCUAGCAGACAUGUACGGAGAGGAACCCAGCGACGAGGAAAGCGAUGGCGUCGGUGAACGCGAAAGCGAAAGUUGGUGUUGAGCUUUCCGCGAUUGUUCGAGCUUCGACUCGAAUCGUUCGCAGCAACCGACUCUGUUAGUUUCCGCUCUCUUUGACGAAGCAGCGACGAAGCCGCGGCUAUUCGUCGCCUCGUGUACUUAACACCACCCGGCGUUCUCUCGCCCUGGUUCUAUACGAAUACCGUGGAAGACGAGUAUAUAGAAGGUGAAAGAAAAGGAAAGAAACGAGACGAACGAACGAACGAACGAUGCAAGGUAACGAUAGGCUUGGAGCAAAAAGAGAUAGGAUGGAAAAAAGACGGAACAAAGGCAGCGGGAGAGCGGUACCGCUCUGCUAUAUUUAACUUAUAGACUAUUUUAUUAACCGGUUAUGCGCGCGAAUGCGAUGAGAAACCGUGUACGAAAUCUUCACAUAUGCGAAUACACGUAUAAAUAUAAACAUUGGUAUCGAAUAUAUGCUGUACACAAAUGUGCGUGCGUGCGUGUGUGUGUGUGAGAGAGUAUGAGUGUAGCGUGCGUGCGUGCGUGUGCGUGCGCGUGUGGGCGCGCGUGUAGGCCAAAGUAAUAAUUAUUGACUUGGCAUGGCGUACGCGUACGAUGCAUAAUUCCGAGAUGCAAAGGCACGAGACACGAGGGAGAGUGGGAAUCGGCGAGAAGAGAUCCGAGUGCCAUAUCGCGCGUUCGAUAUCGGAGAUGGAUUCACCGAGUGAAACGGUAGACGAAUACACGGCCGUAACGCCACCGCGAACGCCAACGAAUUCAAGGCGACUCCUUGCCCUCUCUUUCUCCGCCGAUCAACGAUAAACCGCGUAUUCGCAUGUCGCGUCUUUCCAUAUCCAUUUCGUUCCAUUCGCGAAAUUAACUUUGCAUGCGUGCACGCGUCUGCGAAUAUUUCUAUGUGUGUGUGUAUAUGUAUAUGUAUAUGUAUAUGUACAUAUAUAUAUGUAGAUAUAUGUGUAUAUAUAUAUAUGCAUGUACGUAUAUCCGUGUACUUAUGUAGGCGUUCGCGCACGUACGUACACGUAUAUAUGUGAUAAUAAUUUGUAAGCUUUUUGUACGAUAAAUCAACGGCGAUAUGUAUAUGUAUAAUAAUAAUUGAUAAUUGUAACAACAAGAACAACAAGAACAACAAGAACAACAAGAACAACAGCAACAACGUGUUAAUAAAGAUACGUAAAGCCACGGAUGGCGACUGACUCGGAUGGACAUCCGCCGAGUUAGCCCGAAGCGUUCGCAAAGAAGUUGACGCGUAAUUUAUACGAUAGAAAAGAGCGCAGCUUAGGUGAAAGCGCGUGAUCUCAGAGGACGCGUAAAGAUAGGUGACGGUUACGAGCUACUCGCAAGAUUCUGCCGCGCUAUAAAGUUAUAAGAGAAUCGAGAAAGAUUAUCGGCAUGAUGGCCGCGAUCCCACCCGUCGUAGCAUCCAGCGAGACAGGUGAACGCGUGUUUUUAACGAUACACUCCAUCGCAGUACAAAGAACGUCUCCGUCGGCGAGCGAUGAGCAAGAAACGCGUACUCGAUCGCGACACAAUCCAGUGGACAGCAUUCGGCGACUUCGGUUCGAUUUCGGCACGCGAAAUCUACUCGUCGCGUAUCACGGCCACGCCACGAGCAAAUUUCUUCGCGAUGCGACAUACACGAACACUGCCCUUAUGUACAAUUAAAGAAGAUGGAGAAAGAGGAAGGAGGCCGGUGGAGUUAGAUCGGCGAGAUCGGCGAAAUCGGCGAAAAGGCACCGGUGACCGAGUCGUGCCGGGGAAAGGAUCGACGAUCGCGGAGAAACGAAAGCUUUAGGUCAAGGUACACGCGCCACGUAUACAGGCUUCUUGUAAAUUAUAGACAGGACACGCGAAACCAAAACGGUACGCGCGACCUAUUCGACGCGUGAUAGUUGAUCACAAGACGGCAUCACGCAGCACACCUUUCUUCUUUAUCCGCGAGAUCCAUCUAUUGUCGUCGGAGAUACGUGUAACUUCGUGUUCUUCUCUUUUUUUGUAGCAAUAAUAAAAGACAAUGACAUUGGAAGAUAAUGUGGUUUGCGUUAAAUCGGAAAUUUCCCUCGAAUCCGUAGAUCACUGGACCUCCUCCGUGCUUCGGCUCGCAUCCCACGGAAGAAAGGAGAAACGACUGUUAAUUAAUUCGGAACUCGCGACAGGCUUCCCAUCGACGUUCUUCGAACGAGAAUGAAACCCUUGGAUCGUUCUCGAUUGCGACACGUUCGUGUCGCGUUCCUUCAUUUCCAUCGUACGCGCGCGAUCCACGAUGAAGCUGAUUCGCGCCUCGCAUCACGGAUUCUCCAACCACGAGAACCGAGUUAGAGGUGUGGAGAACCUAUAAAAAGAACCUCGGCCUUCCUACCCUCUCGCAGACGCGGACACACGAUCUCGAGGAUCAGGACUUUGACGCUCGGUCUACUCGCGAUUCCA
RNAcentral lists this unclassified non-coding RNA (7204 nucleotides) under Eufriesea mexicana. Its description in RNAcentral is "dE-cadherin, transcript variant X1". The record is from RNAcentral. Lineage: Eukaryota; Metazoa; Arthropoda; Insecta; Hymenoptera; Apidae.